AAGCGGUUUCGGCAUACCCUUCGGAAGAGAUCAGAUCUGGGAUGGGACGAAGGAGGAAGAGGGUGAAGUGGAGGCUGUCGGUCCGCCCCGCCCCGCCCCUGGCCGAUUCCCUUGCUGGCGCCAGUAGGGUAAGCUUCACUCUCUUCGAGGUCGAUUGAUCUCAACUUUAAUCCUCGAUCUUUAGCGGUUCUCGUGAUAUCUUCCCUGCUUCGUUUGUGAUGUCAUUUUGAUAGCGUCGAUCGGAGCCCUAACCCCCUUCUCAGUUGUUCUCUCCACUCGUGAUCUUCUUCUUCCCUUCUUUGAUUUGAUGUGUGUCUUUCAAGAAGCGGCUUCGCCAUCACCUUUAGGCGAGACCAGAUCCCGUUGCGGGAUGGAGGAGGAUGAGGUUGAAACGGAGGCUACCGCCCGGGCCGAUCCCCUUCCCAGCACCAAUUGUAUAGAAUCCAUUCUCUUGUAGGUCGAUUGUCUCAAUCCUAAUCUUCGAACUUUAGCAGUUGUCGUGAUUUCUCCCCCUUCUCCUCGUUCUUGAUUUCGGAAGUCAUUUUGAUGGCGUGGAUCAGAAUCUUAACCCCCAUCUUUCUUGUUCUUUCUUCUGGCGAUCGCCUUCUUUCCUUCUUUGUGUCUCUUUCUGUUUCUUGAUUUGCGAUGCUUCUCUAGUGGCGUAGGCUAAAAUCGCGGGGUGGAAUCAUGGGGAACGAUCGGAUCGGAUGUGCCCGCGUCGUCUGCGACGGUGGGGAUGUGUUCAUGACAUGUAAUUAUUAUCCACCUGGAAAUUACAUCGUAGAGAGGCCGUAUUAGUGAUGUAAAAAAGCACUUGGAAUCUUGGUUUAGGUGGCCAUACCCCGUUGAUGUAUGCGCGUAAUAAGGUCAGCACACAUGGACACAUGUCCGUGGCUAGUUGGUUUCGACAAUGACAACGUGUCCCCUAAAUGUUUCGUCUGCCACCAAACGACCCAAUUUUUGUCAUGAUUCAAUAACUAAUUAUAUAAUAAAUCUUAUCAUUUUCACAAGAACAUUUUGUGAUAGGCGAAAAUGAUAUUAUCCAUAGCGUACAUAUUAGGCCCACUUGCUCUUCACUCCGACCUCAUUUGGUCACGUCGGCAUAACAUCGAUACACCGACAAGGGGUUUGAUUAAGCUCCACGGGUGAGUUUCGACAUGAAAAUUAAUUUGAUGAAUGAAAAUUGAUUUGAUAAAUCAUUGUUUCGCAUCUUUAAAUUUGAUGCAUGAUUUCACGACCACAAUAAUGAUACUCGUCGCCUGCCUCGUCGAAACCCUCGUAGCCCCAACCGGACCCCAACCGCCGAUGGCCCACGUUUUGGAUCAUCUAGCUGUAGGGAUGGCGGCAACUUGAUCAGUUGUGUUUUCGCCGCCUUCUUAAGGCCCCCAACGGUAGAUGGUCCACGUUUUGGAUCAUCAAGCUGUAGCGAGGGCGACUACUUAAUCAGGUGAGGUGCGUCCUCUCUUCCCAAUCUUGAUGUGGAUCUGGUUGUGUUUUCUCGAGUUCUUUAUGGUUGUUGGGGCUGUUCUUGAGUUCUUGUGUUUUCGCCGCCCUCUAAGGGCCCCCAACCGGAUCCCAACCAUAUGUAGCGAUGGCGGCUACUUGAUCAGGUGCAUUCUCUCUUCCCAAUCUUGUGUGGAUCUGGUUGUGUUUUCUUAGGUUCUUUAUGGUGCUGAGAUGUUAUUGAGGCUGUUAUCUAAGGAAGUGGAGGUUGCCAAGAAAUGCAUAAUUAAUUAUCAUUUGCUCUUGUUUACA
Molecule: long non-coding RNA, 1755 nt
Organism: Musa acuminata AAA Group (dessert banana)
Lineage: Eukaryota; Viridiplantae; Streptophyta; Magnoliopsida; Zingiberales; Musaceae
Exons: 2
Source: RefSeq, a predicted model, not a curated record